Molecule: ribosomal RNA, 729 nt
Filed under: uncultured eukaryote
Lineage: Eukaryota
Description: SSU rRNA
Rfam family: Eukaryotic small subunit ribosomal RNA
Source: RNAcentral
CGCGUGCACUGGCUCGGUUGGGCCUUUCCUUCUGGAGAACCUCAUGCCCUUCACUGGGUGUGUUGGGGAACCAGGACUUUUACUCUGAACAAAUUAGAUCGCUUAAAGAAGGCCUAUGCUCGAAUACAUUAGCAUGGAAUAAUAGAAUAGGACGUGUGGUUCUAUUUUGUUGGUUUCUAGGACCGCCGUAAUGAUUAAUAGGGACAGUCGGGGGCAUCAGUAUUCAAUUGUCAGAGGUGAAAUUCUUGGAUUUAUUGAAGACUAACUACUGCGAAAGCAUUUGCCAAGGAUGUUUUCAUUAAUCAGGAACGAAAGUUAGGGGAUCGAAGACGAUCAGAUACCGUCGUAGUCUUAACCAUAAACUAUGCCGAUUAGGGAUCGGACGGUGUUAUUUUUUGACCCGUUCGGCACCUUACGAUAAAUCAAAAUGUUUGGGCUCCUGGGGGAGUAUGGUCGCAAGGCUGAAACUUAAAGAAAUUGACGGGAGGGCACCACCAGGGGUGGAGCCUGCGGCUUAAUUUGACUCAACACGGGGAAACUCACCAGGUCCAGACACGAUGAGGAUUGACAGAUUGAGAGCUCUUUCUUGAUUUCGUGGGUGGUGGUGCAUGGCCGUUCUUAGUUGGUGGAGUGAUUUGUCUGCUUAAUUGCGAUAACGAACGAGACCUUAACCUGCUAAAUAGCCCGUAUUGCUUUGGCAGUACGCCGGCUUCUUAGAGGGACUAUCGG